UAGCUAACUUCGGAAGCGACUGCCUAAGGCAGGAUUGGUGACUGGGGUGAAGUCGUAACAAGGUAUCCCUACGAGAACGUGGGGAUGGAUCACCUCCUUUCUACGGAGUACAAUUACAAUUUCAUUUUUGGCCUAAAAUCUUAAUACCUGAUAUUUAAAACUAAAUUAUUUAAAUAUCUCACGAGGGUACUAAGUCAGUGUGUUGGUGUAGCCAAAAGCACUCUAAUAUUCAGUUUUGAGGGAUUUACCUCAAAAAAAUAGAUCUUUGAAAACUGAAUAGCAUAUAAAUUAAUAUGAUAACGACAUCAAAAUAUAUUUUGUGAAAAUAAUUUUGAUCCGAGUUGUGUCUAUACAUGGGUAUAGACACUAUAAAUACCUUAAGAAUACAUCAAAACAAAAAAACAUUUUUUUUAAUAGGAAAAAAUAGUUACUUAUACUUUUAAAUAAGCAAGAGUUUGUAGUGG
This 464-nucleotide unclassified non-coding RNA is filed under the name uncultured Mycoplasma sp. Its description in RNAcentral is "partial contains 16S ribosomal RNA, 16S-23S ribosomal RNA intergenic spacer, and 23S ribosomal RNA". The stretch from base 1 to 100 matches the Rfam family "Bacterial small subunit ribosomal RNA", at positions 1432 to 1533 of the family's 1533-position model. Lineage: Bacteria; Bacillati; Mycoplasmatota; Mollicutes; Mycoplasmatales; Mycoplasmataceae. The record is from RNAcentral.